Molecule: ribosomal RNA, 621 nt
Filed under: Enterobacter sp.
Lineage: Bacteria; Pseudomonadati; Pseudomonadota; Gammaproteobacteria; Enterobacterales; Enterobacteriaceae
Description: bacterial SSU rRNA
Rfam family: Bacterial small subunit ribosomal RNA
Source: RNAcentral
AGCGGAAAGUAGCUUGCUACUUUGCCGGCGAGCGGCGGACGGGUGAGUAAUGUCUGGGAAACUGCCUGAUGGAGGGGGAUAACUACUGGAAACGGUAGCUAAUACCGCAUAACGUCGCAAGACCAAAGAGGGGGACCUUCGGGCCUCUUGCCAUCAGAUGUGCCCAGAUGGGAUUAGCUAGUAGGUGGGGUAAUGGCUCACCUAGGCGACGAUCCCUAGCUGGUCUGAGAGGAUGACCAGCCACACUGGAACUGAGACACGGUCCAGACUCCUACGGGAGGCAGCAGUGGGGAAUAUUGCACAAUGGGCGCAAGCCUGAUGCAGCCAUGCCGCGUGUAUGAAGAAGGCCUUCGGGUUGUAAAGUACUUUCAGCGGGGAGGAAGGCGGUGAGGUUAAUAACCUCAUCGAUUGACGUUACCCGCAGAAGAAGCACCGGCUAACUCCGUGCCAGCAGCCGCGGUAAUACGGAGGGUGCAAGCGUUAAUCGGAAUUACUGGGCGUAAAGCGCACGCAGGCGGUCUGUCAAGUCGGAUGUGAAAUCCCCGGGCUCAACCUGGGAACUGCAUUCGAAACUGGCAGGCUAGAGUCUUGUAGAGGGGGGUAGAAUUCCAGGUGUAGCGG